GACGAACGCUGGCGGCGUGCUUAACACAUGCAAGUCGAACGGAAAGGCCCUGCUUUUGUGGGGUGCUCGAGUGGCGAACGGGUGAGUAACACGUGAGUAACCUGCCAUUGACUUUGGGAUAACUUCAGGAAACUGGGGCUAAUACCGGAUAGGAGCUCCUGCUGCAUGGUGGGGGUUGGAAAGUUUCGGCGGUUGGGGAUGGACUCGCGGCUUAUCAGCUUGUUGGUGGGGUAGUGGCUUACCAAGGCUUUGACGGGUAGCCGGCCUGAGAGGGUGACCGGCCACAUUGGGACUGAGAUACGGCCCAGACUCCUACGGGAGGCAGCAGUGGGGAAUAUUGCACAAUGGGCGGAAGCCUGAUGCAGCAACGCCGCGCGGGAUGACGGCCUUCGGGUUGUAAACCGCUUUCGCCUGUGACGAAGCGUGAGUGACGGUAAUGGGUAAAGAAGCACCGGCUAACUACGUG
This 466-nucleotide ribosomal RNA is filed under the name uncultured bacterium. RNAcentral's name for it is "partial 16S ribosomal RNA". It matches the Rfam family "Bacterial small subunit ribosomal RNA", at positions 28 to 507 of the family's 1533-position model. The record is from RNAcentral.